GACGAACGCUGGCGGCAUGCCUAACACAUGCAAGUCGAACGAGACCUUCGGGUCUAGUGGCGCACGGGUGCGUAACGCGUGGGAACCUGCCCUUAGGUUCGGAAUAACUCCCCGAAAGGGGUGCUAAUACCGGAUAAUGUCUUCGGACCAAAGAUUUAUCGCCUUUGGAUGGGCCCGCGUUGGAUUAGCUAGUUGGUAGGGUAAAAGCCUACCAAGGCGACGAUCCAUAGCUGGUCUGAGAGGAUGAUCAGCCACACUGGGACUGAGACACGGCCCAGGCUCCUACGGGAGGCAGCAGUGGGGAAUAUUGGACAAUGGGCGAAAGCCUGAUCCAGCAAUGCCGCGUGAGUGAUGAAGGCCUUAGGGUUGUAAAGCUCUUUUACCCGGGAUGAUAAUGACAGUACCGGGAGAAUAAGCUCCGGCUAACUCCGUG
This 433-nucleotide ribosomal RNA is filed under the name uncultured bacterium. RNAcentral's name for it is "partial 16S ribosomal RNA". It matches the Rfam family "Bacterial small subunit ribosomal RNA", at positions 28 to 507 of the family's 1533-position model. The record is from RNAcentral.